Molecule: transfer RNA, 72 nt
Filed under: Prauserella sediminis
Lineage: Bacteria; Bacillati; Actinomycetota; Actinomycetes; Pseudonocardiales; Pseudonocardiaceae
Description: tRNA-Gly
Rfam family: tRNA
About the family: Transfer RNA (tRNA) molecules are approximately 80 nucleotides in length. Their secondary structure includes four short double-helical elements and three loops (D, anti-codon, and T loops). Further hydrogen bonds mediate the characteristic L-shaped molecular structure. tRNAs have two regions of fundamental functional importance: the anti-codon, which is responsible for specific mRNA codon recognition, and the 3' end, to which the tRNAs corresponding amino acid is attached (by aminoacyl-tRNA synthetases). tRNAs cope with the degeneracy of the genetic code in two manners: having more than one tRNA (with a specific anti-codon) for a particular amino acid; and 'wobble' base-pairing, i.e. permitting non-standard base-pairing at the 3rd anti-codon position.
Source: RNAcentral
GCGCUGGUGGUGUAACGGCAACACACCCCACUCCCGGUGGGGAGCUACCUGGUUCGAUUCCGGCCCGGCGCU